RNAcentral lists this transfer RNA (98 nucleotides) under Candidatus Krumholzibacteriia bacterium. RNAcentral describes it as "tRNA-Sec". It matches the Rfam family "Selenocysteine transfer RNA". Lineage: Bacteria; Candidatus Krumholzibacteriota; Candidatus Krumholzibacteriia. The record is from RNAcentral.
GGGAAUGGAUGGGUCCUGGUGGGCCUCGGGGACUUCAAAUCCCUAAGCCGGGCGUUUAACGCGGUCGGGGUGGGUUCGAUUCCCACACAUUCCCGCCA